CACCAAACGGCGUCGAACCACUUCCUUUUGCUUCGUCUCAGCCUUGCGCAGCUGCCAGAGGCAGCCUUGCACCGUGACACGGCCACCAGCGGCGGCGGGAAGCUCCGCCCGGUUUGAGCUCGUUUUGGAAACAAGCUUGAUAUCUCAAGCUACCGGUCACCAAUCCUCACCAAAAUCCAUCCACAAGCUCGCCUCAACUUCCUGAAACUCCCAGAAGCAGCCUCACACGGCGGCGUGGCCCGUAGCAGUGGCUGCAAGUCAAACCCAACCAAGAACGAGACCGGAGCUAUCGAUCAAGAUAUCUCGAGCUGUAGUGCAUCGUUUUGAUUGAUUCUUUUUCCAGUGGGUUCCCCUUGAUGUUAUUAACAACUCUCUAGAAGGCAUCGAGGCCUGAAAUUGAAGAUUUGACGUCGAAAUCGAGCCUUGCCGGAUUCUGCAAAAUUCUGGAAUUUUUCCGACCACCGAAGCUUUCGAUCGGUAUAUCUCGAGCUACAGACCAUAUUUUUCUGUGAUUCUUGAACCAGUGAGUUCUUCUUGAGUUUCUUAACAACUCUUCAGAAGAAAUCGAAGCCUUAAAUUGACGUUUUUACGUCGAAUUGGAGCUCGCCGUUUUCUGCAGUUUCUCGCCGGUUUCUGGAAAAUUCCGGCCACCUUCAUACUGUUCAAGGUGAUCGACGGUUUGAUUUGGCGGACGAUUCGUGAAAUUGUAUUUUGAGCUGUUAAGAAGACGCAGCGGGAAUUUAGAGCGGGUAAUCCUACAGGACAGGAGAAUCAGGAAGGUGAUCGAGCUGUGUAGAGUAGCUGCUUGUGAUACUCUGAUUUUAUGUUGUGAGGUUCGUUAUGCUCGUUUAGAGUUUUACAAUUUUACUUUGUAAGAGGGAAUUGUAAUAAUUAACUCGAAGUUUACCGAUUUGGAAAUUUUGUGUAAGUGGUGGAGUUGUUUCUGAGAAAAGAA
Long non-coding RNA from Rosa rugosa (rugosa rose), 955 nucleotides. RefSeq lists it as uncharacterized. Lineage: Eukaryota; Viridiplantae; Streptophyta; Magnoliopsida; Rosales; Rosaceae. The record is from RefSeq and is a predicted model, not a curated record. The transcript is spliced from 3 exons.